This 429-nucleotide ribosomal RNA is filed under the name uncultured bacterium. RNAcentral describes it as "bacterial SSU rRNA". It matches the Rfam family "Bacterial small subunit ribosomal RNA", at positions 29 to 507 of the family's 1533-position model. The record is from RNAcentral.
AGCGAACGCUGGCGGCAGGCCUAAUACAUGCAAGUCGAACGCACCUUCGGGUGAGUGGCGGACGGGUGAGUAACGCGUGGGAACGUGCCCUUUGGUUCGGAACAACACAGGGAAACUUGUGCUAAUACCGGAUGUGCCCUUCGGGGAAAGAUUAUCGCCAUUGGAGCGGCCCGCGUUGGAUUAGCUAGUUGGUGGGGUAAAGGCCCACCAAGGCGACGAUCCAUAGCUGGUCUGAGAGGAUGAUCAGCCACACUGGGACUGAGACACGGCCCAGACUCCUACGGGAGGCAGCAGUAGGGAAUCUUGCGCAAUGGGCGAAAGCCUGACGCAGCCAUGCCGCGUGAAUGAUGAAGGUCUUAGGAUUGUAAAAUUCUUUCACCGGGGAAGAUAAUGACGGUACCCGGAGAAGAAGCCCCGGCUAACUUCGUG